AGACCUAGCAAUAGGUAUGCUUAGGGAAGAGCUUGCGUCACAUUAGUUAGUUGGUGGGGUAAUGGCCUACCAAGACGAUGAUGUGUAGCCGGGCUGAGAGGUCGAACGGCCACAUUGGGACUGAGACACGGCCCAAACUCCUACGGGAGGCAGCAGUAAGGAAUUUUCGGCAAUGGAGGAAACUCUGACCGAGCAAUGCCGCGUGAACGAUGAAGUAUUUCGGUACGUAAAGUUCUUUUAUUAGGGAAGAAAAGAUGGUGGAAAAACCAUUAUGACGGUACCUAAUGAAUAAGCCCCGGCUAACUAUGUGCCAGCAGCCGCGGUAAUACAUAGGGGGCAAGCGUUAUCCGGAAUUAUUGGGCGUAAAGGGUGCGUAGGCGGUUAAAUAAGUUUAUGGUCUAAGUGCAACGCUCAACGUUGUGAUGCUAUAAAAACUGUUUAGCUAGAGUUGGAUAGAGGCAAGUGGAAUUCCGUGUGUAGUGGUAAAAUGCGUAAAUAUACGGAGGAACACCAGAAGCGAAGGCGGCUUGCUGGGUCUUAACUGACGCUGAGGCACGAAAGCGUGGGGAGCAAACAGGAUUAGAUACCCUGGUAGUCCACGCCCUAAACGAUGAGUACUAAACGUUGGAUAAAACCAGUGUUGAAGUUAACACAUUAAGUACUCCGCCUGAGUAGUACGUACGCAAGUAUGAAACUUAAAGGAAUUGACGGGACUCCGCACAAGCGGUGGAUCAUGUUGUUUAAUUCGAAGGUACCCGAAAAACCUCACCAGGUCUUGACAUGCUUUUGCAAAGCUGUAGAAAUACAGUGGAGGUUAUCAGAAGCACAGGUGGUGCAUGGUUGUCGUCAGCUCGUGUCGUGAGAUGUUGGGUUAAGUCCCGCAACGAGCGCAACCCUUGUUGUUAAUUGUCAUCAUUAAGUUGGGGACUUUAGCAAGACUGCCAAUGAUAAAUUGGAGGAAGGUGGGGACGACGUCAAAUCAUCAUGCCCCUUAUGACCUGGGCUACAAACGUGAUACAAUGGCUGUUACAAAGGGUAGCUAAAGCGUAAGCUUCUGGCGAAUCUCAAAAAAGCAGUCUCAGUUCGGAUUGAAGUCUGCAACUCGACUUCAUGAAGUUGGAAUCGCUAGUAAUCGCGAAUCAGCAUUCGCGUAACUAAGUCCC
RNAcentral lists this ribosomal RNA (1163 nucleotides) under 'Asymmetrasca decedens' phytoplasma. RNAcentral describes it as "bacterial SSU rRNA". It matches the Rfam family "Bacterial small subunit ribosomal RNA", at positions 199 to 1374 of the family's 1533-position model. Lineage: Bacteria; Bacillati; Mycoplasmatota; Mollicutes; Acholeplasmatales; Acholeplasmataceae. The record is from RNAcentral.